RNAcentral lists this long non-coding RNA (770 nucleotides) under Danio rerio (zebrafish). RNAcentral describes it as "lncRNA si:dkey-1p9.4 (ENSDARG00000095066.2)". Lineage: Eukaryota; Metazoa; Chordata; Actinopteri; Cypriniformes; Danionidae. The record is from RNAcentral.
GUUCUCGUUCUGGAGGUGCCGUCUUACAUGACGGUCCAUGCCAAAGGAAAUGUGGACGGGUACGUUCUCGAAAAUCUGAAAGCAAGGCUGGAGCAGUGGUUGAGGUCAAGAAGAAGGUGCAGCCUAAAGAGCAAGAAGAUGACAUUGUUGAUGCAAGCGCUCUUGAUGAUCAAGGUGACAGUGAUUAUAACCAGCUGAUGAGGAGGCCAGAUCCAGACUGGCUGUCAGGCACUUCACUCCUCUUCCCUCCUGCUCUUCAUCAUGUCCCACGUCUACCUCACGGAAAUGUCCUCGCAGGAUGGUGGGACCUCCUCGCAAAUUUCUUCCAGAUUCAGGUGAAAAGCCCUUCUCCUGUAAAAUGUGCCACUUUACGACACGACACAGGAAGAACCUGCGACUACAUGUGCAAUGUCGCCACCCUGAGACUUUUCAAGAGUCGAACACAUCCAGAUGAGCCGAUCUGACGACGACAGACGCCUGUUUUCACCCUGAAGCAGAUUGAGGAGCUGAGGUUACAGCAUGAAAACCAGGAAUUUCAAGAGACCAUUACACACUGAUGAUCUGAGCCUGGAUCGUCAAACAGUGAGAGGCCGUUCAUCACAGCAUAGAAAACUAUACAAAUCAAGAAACAUGAAAGGAAAAGUAUCACCUCAAGCAACCAAAUUUUGAGCAAUUUCAUGCAAAUGUCAACCCUGAAAAGUUUUCUCCAAAAUAGCGAAACCCUUUGUAGGUUUUUGUGUGUGUGUAGGCUUGUGUUUUACAGUGCUGUA